Molecule: long non-coding RNA, 846 nt
Organism: Mauremys reevesii (Reeves's turtle)
Lineage: Eukaryota; Metazoa; Chordata; Testudines; Geoemydidae
Exons: 5
Source: RefSeq, a predicted model, not a curated record
GUCAGGCCAGGGAGGGGACUUACCGGCUGUACCAGCUGCUGCUCGAACAGAGGGGUAAGGAACCCACUGGGACACGGAACCCAUCAGGGGACUGAAAGGGACCACAGGGCUGAGCAUACACGAGGUGGAGGAUCUGUGGUGCCACAACUGGUACCAGGACAGCAGGCUCCUGGGCUAUAAAAACACAGCCAGGGUGGGGGAGGUCUUUGGAAAAUUCUUCUCUGCGGGGCAGAGGAAAUGCUUCCUCAAGACAGCCGUGCCAGCGAUCUACAACCCCCUGCUGUGCAUUAGCCAGGCUGGGCUUCUCCUCACAUACGCCAUCCUGGGGGAAGCCGAGCAACUGCUGGGGUACACGCUGGAGGACAUCACCGCCAAGGUGAUGGGUCAGCUCCGCAGCAUCCGGCAGCUGCACCAGGUGCCUGAGGUGCUGCAAGGGCUGAGCCUCACCUGAUGCCCUUAAAGGUCCCCCCUCAGCAACUCCCGCUCCCUGCUGCAGAUCUUCGCACGGGUCGGCUUGCUGCAGGAGACAUUGACGGACAUCAUCAUCUACAGUGCCAACUGGAAGGAACAGCUCCAGCUGCGGGCGCUGGGCAGAGCAGGACUCACCGCAAACCGAACCAAAUGUCACCUGGGCCAGAAAGAACUGAUCUACCCGGGCUAUACGGUGGGCUAAGGGAAAAUACGGCCUUUGGUAUCUGAGCCACAAGCUGUUCUAUCUAAUAGGGAACCCCUUCUCCUUGGUAACAGACCACGCACCCCUCAGGUGGAUUAACAGCAUGAAGGACUCACACACACGGAUCAUGUGGUGGUACAUGUCCCUCCAACCCUAUUCCUUUCGAGUGUUAC